AUGUGGUCGGUAGAGUCAGUGUUUGUUACGAAGUGUUUUCAUAUCUUUCUGAGCAAAAUGGCUCUUGUUAAAUGAAAUAAUUCGUUUAAAUUAUAAUUCGCAAAAUUAGAGUCAGUGAGUCCGCCGAUUGUUACUUAAACGCGCGCGUCGAUAGUCUUUUAUUUUAAUUUUUUUAUACUUUCUCUUGUUCAAUACUCGUUUUCUGUAUUAGAGUCAGUGCUCAAGAGGAUAAGGCCUCUCCAGGAGAUCAAGAUCAUCUUCUACAGUCUCCACUUCCCGUAAUCCUCCAAGAAUCGUACGAUGCUUCAAAAGCUAAAAAUAAAUUUUUCACGGCGUUCGCUUCCACCAUGAGAUUCUCAGUGGUAUCUACUUGAUGAGGAUCUUCACGAUAACGUUUUCUGCUCCAGUGCAGCACCGAUGAUAACGUUCUUCACAUCAAUCGCGUGAGUCGCAUGCAUUUAUGUUCCUCCGGUCACUCAAUCAUGUCGUAGG
Molecule: long non-coding RNA, 492 nt
Organism: Frieseomelitta varia
Lineage: Eukaryota; Metazoa; Arthropoda; Insecta; Hymenoptera; Apidae
Exons: 3
Source: RefSeq, a predicted model, not a curated record